GACGAACGCUGGCGGCGUGCCUAAUACAUGCAAGUCGAACGCUUCUUUCCUCCCGAGUGCUUGCACUCAAUUGGAAAGAGGAGUGGCGGACGGGUGAGUAACACGUGGGUAACCUACCCAUCAGAGGGGGAUAACACUUGGAAACAGGUGCUAAUACCGCAUAACAGUUUAUGCCGCAUGGCAUAAGAGUGAAAGGCGCUUUCGGGUGUCGCUGAUGGAUGGACCCGCGGUGCAUUAGCUAGUUGGUGAGGUAACGGCUCACCAAGGCGACGAUGCGUAGCCGACCUGAGAGGGUGAUCGGCCACAUUGGGACUGAGACACGGCCCAG
This 328-nucleotide ribosomal RNA is filed under the name uncultured bacterium. RNAcentral's name for it is "bacterial SSU rRNA". It matches the Rfam family "Bacterial small subunit ribosomal RNA", at positions 28 to 334 of the family's 1533-position model. The record is from RNAcentral.